RNAcentral lists this ribosomal RNA (301 nucleotides) under uncultured bacterium. RNAcentral describes it as "partial 16S ribosomal RNA". It matches the Rfam family "Bacterial small subunit ribosomal RNA", at positions 509 to 807 of the family's 1533-position model. The record is from RNAcentral.
CAGCCGCCACGGUAAGACAGAGGAUGCAAGCGUUAUCCGGAAUGAUUGGGCGUAAAGGGCUCGCAGGCGGUUUCUUAAGUCUGAUGUGAAAGCCCCCGGCUCAACCGGGGAGGGUCAUUGGAAACUGGGAAACUUGAGUGCAGAAGAGGAGAGUGGAAUUCCACGUGUAGCGGUGAAAUGCGUAGAGAUGUGGAGGAACACCAGUGGCGAAGGCGACUCUCUGGUCUGUAACUGACGCUGAGGAGCGUAAGCGUGGGGAGCGAAUAGGAUUAGAUACCCCAGUAGUCCCUGUCUCUUAUAC